Molecule: long non-coding RNA, 1601 nt
Organism: Ctenopharyngodon idella (grass carp)
Lineage: Eukaryota; Metazoa; Chordata; Actinopteri; Cypriniformes; Xenocyprididae
Exons: 4
Source: RefSeq, a predicted model, not a curated record
ACGACAUGCUCUGCAGAGUCUAUUUCUACUCGAACCUCAACGGGUGGUCGCAGUUCAGUUCAAACAUGUGCUUUCUGAAAUUCAUUUUGCUGCUGUUGAUUCCAUCAUAUAUAAGUGGUGGCUGUCAGUCCAACAUUAGUGUAAGUGGAGGGCAGAAUGUUUGCUACGGUCAAGACUUUAACCUCACAUGUCAGUUUGCUUGCCAUGGACUACAAAACCAUGUAAAAUUGGUGAAAGAGCAACAAAUUGAGUGCAGAAAAGUGUCUUCAGAUAAUAGUAUCACACUCUCUAUGCAAGUUCAUGGUGCAAAUAGGAAUCAUUCAGGAACAUAUAGCUGCCAAACAGAGCCAGAGGAUUCAAUAAGCAUGGCUUAUGUAAGAGUGGAAGACUGUGUUUUUCCUUCAAAAUCAACAUCAUCCCCUCUGGCUACCACAUACCAAAGCCCCACACCAUCAAGGAUCUUGGCUCCAGGGCUGAUAUGGUACAUACUGUUCAAGACAGGGGUUUUACUCAUCGGGUCAAUAACUGCAGCGCUGAAAGUCAGAAACACUGAAAAAUGACAAGAAUUUCUGUCAUUUAAAUUAAAAUAUGCUUCUAAUAAAUCAUGUACUCCAUGCAUCUUCACUUGCAUGCUGUUUUGCAAAAUUCAGUAUUCUUGUAAAUGUCAUGUAGUUGCUAUAGCUUCUCUGUGUUGUUCAUAAAUCUAAUGUCAGAUGUUCUCAUAGAUCUUGUCCUUCUUAAAAGAGAGAAUGCAAAUCAUGCCUUUUUGGACAUACAUGCCUAACUGGACCAGUUCUUGCUUUCUGUUAAAGAUGAUGAUGUUAAUAUACAAUAUAUUUUUCACAAGUACGGCUUUGUGAACUUGGCAGGUAUCUCUCAGAAUUUUUACAAAGUAAAUAAAUAAAUAUAUAUGAUGAAUAUAUAUAUGAAUUCUCACAAAUCUGCUUUCAAAGUGAUAUGGAUCCCAUCCUCUGAUUCUUUGUGAAAGACAAUUUUCUAUACCCUUCUAGGAUAGCUAAUUUGAAUUUUGAAUUGAAAUCAAUUAUUGCGUCUAACAGUUCAACAAAAAAGUUAAAUGAGUUACAUGUCCUUUGCCUUGCUAACUGUUUUUUUUUUUUUUUUUUUUUUUUUUACCAGUGAAAUGAAUGUUUAGACAAAAUAAUGACGGGAUUUCAACACUUGGGGGAGCUCGUGUCCGUAAACUCGGGAGGAGGCUUAUUUCAUGUAAACAGGAUUAGAUUGCAUCUUUUUAAACGGAGGUUAUACUUAAAGUCUGACACAGCCACUGCUACUUUCUUGCAAGAUUAGGCUACCUUAAACCAUUUUUAAAACCACCUUUAAAAACAUUUUUUCGUAAGGGAAUAAUUACCUAAUAAUUUUAUUGCAGUUUUACACACUUUCCCCCGGUUUCACAGACAAGGCUUAAGCUAGUCCCGGACUGAAAUGCAUGUUUGGGCUUUUUUAACUGAAAGCAACUUGCUCUGACAUAUCUUUAAAUAUGUCAGUGCCAUUGUUUUGUCUCAAGAUGCACUCCAGUAAUGUUUUUUUCUAGUCUACGUUCAUAAAAGAUACUCAAAUGCCCUAAUUGAACUAAGGUCUAA